GGCAGAAUAGCUCAGUUGGUUAGAGCGUCAGAUAGUAACUCUGAGGUCCUGGGUUCAAAUCCCAGUUCAGCCA
Non-coding RNA from Mycena olivaceomarginata, 73 nucleotides. Lineage: Eukaryota; Fungi; Basidiomycota; Agaricomycetes; Agaricales; Mycenaceae. The record is from the annotation of a GenBank genome assembly.